RNAcentral lists this ribosomal RNA (187 nucleotides) under uncultured soil bacterium. RNAcentral describes it as "partial 16S ribosomal RNA". It matches the Rfam family "Bacterial small subunit ribosomal RNA", at positions 26 to 215 of the family's 1533-position model. The record is from RNAcentral.
AGAUUGAACGCUGGCGGCAGGCCUAACACAUGCAAGUCGAGCGGCAGCACGGGUACUUGUACCUGGUGGCGAGCGGCGGACGGGUGAGUAAUGCCUAGGAAUCUGCCUGAUAGUGGGGGAUAACGUUCGGAAACGGACGCUAAUACCGCAUACGUCCUACGGGAGAAAGUGGGGGAUCUUCGGACCU